CAGUAGCCGCGGGAAAACGGAGGGUGCAAGCGUUAAUCGGAAUUACUGGGCGUAAAGCGUGCGUAGGCGGUUCGUUAAGUCUGUUGUGAAAGCCCCGGGCUCAACCUGGGAAUGGCAAUGGAUACUGGCGAGCUAGAGUGUGUCAGAGGAUGGUGGAAUUCCCGGUGUAGCGGUGAAAUGCGUAGAGAUCGGGAGGAACAUCAGUGGCGAAGGCGGCCAUCUGGGACAACACUGACGCUGAGGCACGAAAGCGUGGGGAGCAAACAGGAUUAGAUACCCCGGUAGUCCCUGUCUCUUAUAC
RNAcentral lists this ribosomal RNA (301 nucleotides) under uncultured bacterium. RNAcentral describes it as "partial 16S ribosomal RNA". It matches the Rfam family "Bacterial small subunit ribosomal RNA", at positions 509 to 807 of the family's 1533-position model. The record is from RNAcentral.